RNAcentral lists this ribosomal RNA (355 nucleotides) under Aurelia labiata. Its description in RNAcentral is "eukaryotic LSU rRNA". It matches the Rfam family "Eukaryotic large subunit ribosomal RNA", at positions 1 to 349 of the family's 3401-position model. The record is from RNAcentral. Lineage: Eukaryota; Metazoa; Cnidaria; Scyphozoa; Semaeostomeae; Ulmaridae.
UUUGACCUCAGAUCAGGCAAGACUACCCGCUGAAUUUAAGCAUAUUAAUAAGCGGAGGAAAAGAAACUAACAAGGAUUCCCUCAGUAACGGCGAGUGAAGUGGGAAUGGCUCAAGCUUGAAAUCUCUGUUGCUUGCAACAGCGAAUUGUAGUCUCGAGAAGCGUUUUCCCGGCGGAUCUAUCCUGCCUAAGUUGCUUGGAACAGCACAUCACAGAGGGUGACAAUCCCGUUUGUGGCAGGGCAGACCGUUCAUGAUACGCUUUCUAUGAGUCGGGUUGCUUGGGAAUGCAGCCCAAAAUUGGUGGUAAACUCCAUCUAAAGCUAAAUAUUGCCACGANACCGAUAGCGAACAAGU